AAUCAAUGUCUUUAUUAUUUAAAAUUAAAUAUUGUAUUUUAGUUAAUUUUUGUUCAUGUACAGUUGUGAGGCGGCUCCAUCCAUCAUCCACAUGCUGCUGCCUCGGCUGCUGUUUGUUGUUUUGCACCUUGAGCCUUGACUACUUCCGGUUUGCCCGCGAAGGACGACAACUCUGCAGCAGGUAGUUCUUGUUCUGCUGGUUUACUGCUGGCCACCGCAUCCUCAUCGCCGACACAUCCUGCGGGCCACUGGACAUGCAAAUAAGGAUGUCGCCUUCGCGGGCAGCAGAACAUGCGUUUGCUGCGAUAUUCUGGGCAUUGCUCAUGUGGCGGAGCCUGCAUCAAGUGGCUGCCACAAGUCCUGCCAGCAGGCCGGAUGUUGUUGCAAUCGAUCGAUUUGGGAGUAGUAAACUAAGAUGCUAUCAUGUGGCUAAUUGCCAAAGACAGCGAGCGUUUUCAUUGCCAUGGCCAGGACUAAAGGACUCGAAGGACUAAAGUAAACAACAUUAGCCAAAAUGGCAAUUUGCAGAUACGGCCACCAAACAAAUGUCUAGACAGGGCAGGACUAAAGUCCCGGUGCUCUGGUACACCUGCCCAGGUAGUUAAAUUAAUCAUCAACGUACCGCUCCUGGGGGAGGAAAAAGGAUCUGUAGUGGGAGUUGCCGAGCAAACGCCUUUCAGUAAGAUGCUUCAAUUACGAAUGUUAUUAUACCGAAGGAACACGCAUCUUGGAUCGCAACUGAACCAUUCAGAAGUUCUGGAUCAGAAGCGGAAUAUCUUUACCAUACGCACUCGAGCAGGUACAGUUUCGUUACGCCAGCUCCAGCAACAACAAUAUGUAACUACUACAACUACUCGUACUACUAGCAUGAUGAUUAAAAUAAUAA
This is a long non-coding RNA of Drosophila simulans, 886 nucleotides long. RefSeq lists it as uncharacterized. NCBI's taxonomy places the organism in Eukaryota, Metazoa, Arthropoda, Insecta, Diptera, Drosophilidae. The transcript has 3 exons. The record is from RefSeq and is a predicted model, not a curated record.